UACGUAGGGUGCAAGCGUUAAUCGGAAUUAUUGGGCGUAAAGGGCGCGUAGGUGGCUUGGCAAGUGGAAGGUGAAAUCCCUCGGCUCAACUGAGGAACUGCCUUCCAGACUGCUUUGCUUGAGGCCGGGAGAGGCGAGUGGAAUUCCCAGUGUAGCGGUGAAAUGCGUAGAUAUUGGGAGGAACACCAGUGGCGAAGGCGACUCGCUGGACCGGUUCUGACGCUGAGGCGCGAAAGCGUGGGGAGCAAACAGG
Molecule: ribosomal RNA, 253 nt
Filed under: uncultured bacterium
Lineage: Bacteria
Description: partial 16S ribosomal RNA
Rfam family: Bacterial small subunit ribosomal RNA
Source: RNAcentral